CGGGGUGUAGUAUAGUGGCAGUACGCGGGGUUCGGGACUCCGUAGUCUGGGUUCGAUUCCCAGCACCCCGACCA
RNAcentral lists this transfer RNA (74 nucleotides) under Candidatus Colwellbacteria bacterium CG23_combo_of_CG06-09_8_20_14_all_42_19. RNAcentral's name for it is "tRNA-Pro". It matches the Rfam family "tRNA". From Rfam's summary of the family: Transfer RNA (tRNA) molecules are approximately 80 nucleotides in length. Their secondary structure includes four short double-helical elements and three loops (D, anti-codon, and T loops). The record is from RNAcentral. RNAcentral also lists the same sequence under 1 other name. Lineage: Bacteria; Candidatus Colwelliibacteriota.